RNAcentral lists this ribosomal RNA (468 nucleotides) under uncultured bacterium. RNAcentral's name for it is "partial 16S ribosomal RNA". It matches the Rfam family "Bacterial small subunit ribosomal RNA", at positions 28 to 507 of the family's 1533-position model. The record is from RNAcentral.
GACGAACGCUGGCGGCGUGCUUAACACAUGCAAGUCGAACGGAAAGGCCCUGCUUUUGUGGGGUGCUCGAGUGGCGAAAGGGUGAGUAUCACGUGAGUAACCUGCCCUUUACUUUGGGGUAACUUCAGGAAACUGGGGCUAAUACCGGGUAUGAGCUCCUUCUGCAUGGUGGGUGAUGUAAAGUUUCGGCGGUUCGGGAUUGACGCGCGGCUUAUCAGCUUGUUGGUGGGGUAGUGGCUUACCAAGGCGUUGACGGGUAGCCGGACUGAGAGGGUGACCGGGCACAUAGGGAUUGGGAAAGGGCCAAGAGGGAUACGGGAGGAAGCAGUGAGGAAUAGAGCAAGAAGGGCGGAGGGAGGAAGCAAGAACGCCGCGUGCGAGAUGACGGCCUUUGGGUUGGAAACCGGGUGAGAGUGUGAAGAAGAGUAAGUGACGGUAACGGGUAAAGAAGCAACGGCUAACUACGUG